UACGUGGUCUCUAUGCAAUCUCCGCCUCCCUCAUCUCUCUCUUUAUUCCUCAAAGCCUUACAAGCCAAUUUCAAGCUAUUUGCUCCAUUUGUCUCUGUGUUUUAAACUAAAGAGCUCUUCUGCCUCUCUUUGGGGUUUCACUAUUUUGCAUUUUCGCCAAGUCGCUAGCUGAACUUAGAGAGGAGGAAAGUUUGCUAUUGACGGAAAGGAUAAAUUUGAAAAAUGAACUGCCAGCUUUGUGUCUCACUCUUGAGAAACAGAGAGCUACAAAUGACAGUUUGAAGAGAAUUAAGCAACCCCAUGUGUAUGAAGCCAAGUUUAAUGUUGGAGCUUGAAGAAGUGCUUACAUGCAGGAUUACUGAAAAGAAACUUUUUUUUGACAACUAAGCAUUCUGCCCAGCAAUGGAUUGCUGUAAUCUGCUUCACGACUAAGCAUUUUGUUGUAAUGUAAAGCUUUAGAUAUCUUGCCAUAGUUUUUCAUUUCCGGCUCUUUAGUGCUUGUGUUGGUUUGUAUGCAUUUGUUUUGCUUUCUCAAAGUUCUGACACUGUUUGGAGAGUUCACAACAGAAUGAAAUGAAUUAGAGUGGAUAGGUUAUAAAUGAAUGGAAUGUGGAGGACUAUAUUAUUUUCUUUUGUUUGGUGUGUUUUGGAGUUGCAUAAGAGAAGGAAUGGAAAGAAGAGAUAUCAUACUUGCACCUCAGAUGGUUCAGUGAAGAUAUUGUUGGUUUUGUGUUUUUAUUGUGUGUAUCCAUUUAAUAGUCAUAAAUGUGGCUUGCUAAG
Long non-coding RNA from Quercus robur (English oak), 780 nucleotides. RefSeq lists it as uncharacterized. Lineage: Eukaryota; Viridiplantae; Streptophyta; Magnoliopsida; Fagales; Fagaceae. The transcript has 5 exons. The record is from RefSeq and is a predicted model, not a curated record.